RNAcentral lists this ribosomal RNA (568 nucleotides) under uncultured bacterium. RNAcentral's name for it is "bacterial SSU rRNA". It matches the Rfam family "Bacterial small subunit ribosomal RNA", at positions 338 to 916 of the family's 1533-position model. The record is from RNAcentral.
CCUACGGGAGGCAGCAGUGGGGAAUAUUGGACAAUGGGCGGAAGCCUGAUCCAGCAACGCCGCGUGAGGGAUGACGGCCUUCGGGUUGUAAACCUCUUUCAGUACCGACGAAGCGCAAGUGACGGUAGGUACAGAAGAAGCACCGGCCAACUACGUGCCAGCAGCCGCGGUAAUACGUAGGGUGCGAGCGUUGUCCGGAAUUAUUGGGCGUAAAGGGCUCGUAGGCGGUUUGUCGCGUCGGGAGUGAAAACGCCGUGCUUAACACGGCGCUUGCUUUCGAUACGGGCAGACUAGAGGUAUGCAGGGGAGAACGGAAUUCCUGGUGUAGCGGUGAAAUGCGCAGAUAUCAGGAGGAACACCGGUGGCGAAGGCGGUUCUCUGGGCAUUACCUGACGCUGAGGAGCGAAAGUGUGGGGAGCGAACAGGAUUAGAUACCCUGGUAGUCCACACCGUAAACGUUGGGCGCUAGGUGUGGGGUCCAUUCCACGGAUUCCGUGCCGCAGUUACGCAUUAAGCGCCCCGCCUGGGGAGUACGGCCGCAAGGCUAAAACGUCAAAUGAAUUGACGG